GGGUCAGUAGGUUGGUCGUGCCACCGGUACGUACUGGUCUCACUGAUUCCUCCUUCCUGAAGAACCGUAAUGCCAUUAAUUUGGUGUUGCGGGGAAGCAGGACUGUUACUUUGAAAAAAUUAGAGUGUUUAAAGCAAGCUAACGCUUGAAUACAUUAGCAUGGAAUAAUGAAAUAGGACGAUCGAUCCUAUUUUGUUGGUUUCCAGGAUUGACGUA
This 216-nucleotide ribosomal RNA is filed under the name Glomeromycotina sp. RNAcentral describes it as "partial small subunit ribosomal RNA". The stretch from base 40 to 216 matches the Rfam family "Eukaryotic small subunit ribosomal RNA", at positions 686 to 864 of the family's 1831-position model. The record is from RNAcentral. Lineage: Eukaryota; Fungi; Glomeromycota.